GGAGCAGCAGUGGGGAAUCUUGCCCAAUGGAGGAAACUGCGAUGCAGCAACGCCGCGUGGAGGAUGACACUUUUUGGAGCGUAAACUCAUUUUAUAUAGGAGGUUAAUGACGGUAAUAUACGAAUAAGCACCGGCUAACUCCGUGCCAGCAGCCGCGGUAAUACGGAGGGUGCAAGCGUUACUCGGAAUCACUGGGCGUAAAGAGCGUGUAGGCGGGUUAUUAAGUCAGAAGUGAAAUCCUAUGGCUCAACCAUAGAACUGCUUUUGAAACUGGUAACCUAGAGUAUGGGAGAGGUAGAUGGAAUUUCUGGUGUAGGGGUAAAAUCCGUAGAGAUCAGAAGGAAUACCGAUUGCGAAGGCGAUCUACUGGAACAUUACUGACGCUGAGACGCGAAAGCGUGGGGAGCAAACAGGAUUAGAUACCCUGGUAGUCCACGCCCUAAACGAUGUACACUAGUUGUUGCCGUGCUAGACAUGGCAGUAAUGCAGUUAACACAUUAAGUGUACCGCCUGGGGAGUACGGUCGCAAGAUUAAAACUCAAAGGAAUAGACGGGGACCCGCACAAGCGGUGGAGCAUGUGGUUUAAUUCGACGAUACGCGAAGAACCUUACCUGGAUUUGACAUUUACAGAACUUUCAAGAGAUUGAUUGGUGUCUGCUUGCAGAAACUGUAGGACAGGUGCUGCACGGCUGUCGUCAGCUCGUGUCGUGAGAUGUUGGGUUAAGUCCCGCAACGAGCGCAACCCACGUCGUUAGUUGCUAACAGUUCGGCUGAGAACUCUAACGAGACUGCCUGGGCAACCAGGAGGAAGGUGUGGACGACGUCAAGUCAUCAUGGCCCUUACGUCCAGGGCUACACACGUGCUACAAUGGGGUAUACAAAGAGCCGCGAUACCGCGAGGUGGAGCAAAUCUCAAAAAUAUCUCCCAGUUCGGAUUGUACUCUGCAACUCGAGUGCAUGAAGUUGGAAUCGCUAGUAAUCGUAGAUCAGCAAUGCUACGGUGAAUACGUUCCCGGGUCUUGUACUCACCGCCCGUCACACCAUGGGAGUUG
RNAcentral lists this ribosomal RNA (1053 nucleotides) under uncultured Arcobacter sp. Its description in RNAcentral is "bacterial SSU rRNA". It matches the Rfam family "Bacterial small subunit ribosomal RNA", at positions 345 to 1413 of the family's 1533-position model. The record is from RNAcentral. Lineage: Bacteria; Pseudomonadati; Campylobacterota; Epsilonproteobacteria; Campylobacterales; Arcobacteraceae.